CAGGGCUUAAAUGUAAGUUGCAUGGACCAGAGAUGGACCUUUCUUCGGACUACUUACAAGGUGCUGCAUGGUUGUCGUCAGCUCGUGCCGUGAGGUGUCAGGUUAAGUCCUAUAACGAGCGCAACCCCUGUUGUUAGUUGCCAGCAAGUAAAGUUGGGUACUCUAGCGAGACUGCCGGUGCAAACCGUGAGGAAGGUGGGGACGACGUCAAAUCAUCACGGCCCUUACGUCCUGGGCUACACACGUGCUACAAUGGUCGGUACAGAGAGCAGCCACUACGCGAGUAGGAGCGAAUCUUCAAAGCCGAUCUCAGUUCGGAUCGCAGUCUGCAACUCGACUGCGUGAAGCUGGAAUCGCUAGUAAUCGCAUAUCAGCCAUGAUGCGGUGAAUACGUUCCCGGGUCUGUACACACCGAAUCUAGAUGCAUCGGAGACAAA
This 437-nucleotide ribosomal RNA is filed under the name uncultured bacterium. Its description in RNAcentral is "bacterial SSU rRNA". It matches the Rfam family "Bacterial small subunit ribosomal RNA", at positions 975 to 1415 of the family's 1533-position model. The record is from RNAcentral.